GGGUUGGAUGCGAGAACGGUGCUCGUGCCCGGCUGUAACCCGGGGGUCAAUGACACUGCAGGUUCGAUUCCUGCCCAACCCA
Molecule: transfer RNA, 82 nt
Filed under: Myxococcales bacterium
Lineage: Bacteria; Pseudomonadati; Myxococcota; Myxococcia; Myxococcales
Description: tRNA-Tyr
Rfam family: tRNA
About the family: Transfer RNA (tRNA) molecules are approximately 80 nucleotides in length. Their secondary structure includes four short double-helical elements and three loops (D, anti-codon, and T loops). Further hydrogen bonds mediate the characteristic L-shaped molecular structure. tRNAs have two regions of fundamental functional importance: the anti-codon, which is responsible for specific mRNA codon recognition, and the 3' end, to which the tRNAs corresponding amino acid is attached (by aminoacyl-tRNA synthetases). tRNAs cope with the degeneracy of the genetic code in two manners: having more than one tRNA (with a specific anti-codon) for a particular amino acid; and 'wobble' base-pairing, i.e. permitting non-standard base-pairing at the 3rd anti-codon position.
Source: RNAcentral